GGCCCUGUAGUGAAGUUCAUAAUGAGUUGCAAACUCGUAGAUGUACAUUAGUCAUGUGCCGGGGUCU
This 67-nucleotide transfer RNA is filed under the name Spizixos semitorques (collared finchbill). RNAcentral describes it as "tRNA-Cys". The record is from RNAcentral. Lineage: Eukaryota; Metazoa; Chordata; Aves; Passeriformes; Pycnonotidae.